GAUGAACGCUAGCUACAGGCUUAACACAUGCAAGUCGAGGGGCAGCAUGGUCUUAGCUUGCUAAGGCCGAUGGCGACCGGCGCACGGGUGAGUAACACGUAUCCAACCUGCCGUCUACUCUUGGACAGCCUUCUGAAAGGAAGAUUUAAUACAAAGAGGUCGGACUACUACUAGUAGGUUACGUUACCAACUAGUUUCGUUACCAACUAGUUAGUUAAAGGUUUAAAAGGUUCCGGUUUACCGGGUAACGGAACGUA
This 257-nucleotide ribosomal RNA is filed under the name uncultured bacterium. RNAcentral's name for it is "partial 16S ribosomal RNA". The record is from RNAcentral.